This 301-nucleotide ribosomal RNA is filed under the name uncultured bacterium. Its description in RNAcentral is "partial 16S ribosomal RNA". It matches the Rfam family "Bacterial small subunit ribosomal RNA", at positions 509 to 807 of the family's 1533-position model. The record is from RNAcentral.
CAGCCGCCGCGGUAAUACGAAGGGUGCAAGCGUUACUCGGAAUUACUGGGCGUAAAGCGUGCGUAGGUGGUGGUUUAAGUCCGUUGUGAAAGCCCUGGGCUCAACCUGGGAAUUGCAGUGGAUACUGGGUCACUAGAGUGUGGUAGAGGAUAGUGGAAUCUCCGGUGUAGCAGUGAAAUGCGUAGAGAUCGGAAGGAACAUCUGUGGCGAAGGCGACUAUCUGGGCCAACACUGACACUGAGGCACGAAAGCGUGGGGAGCAAACAGGAUUAGAUACCCCUGUAGUCCCUGUCUCUUAUAC